GAUGAACGCUGGCGGCGUGCCUAACACAUGCAAGUCGAACGGAGAUUACGGACGGAAGUUUUCGGAUGGAAGACUGUAAUUCUUAGUGGCGGACGGGUGAGUAACGCGUGGGCAACCUGCCCUAUACAGGGGGAUAGCAGCUGGAAACGGCUGGUAAGACCGCAUAAGUCGGCGAGACCGCAUGGUUUUGCCGGGAAAUGAGCAAUCAGGUAUAGGAUGGGCCCGCGUCCGAUUAGCCAGUUGGCAGGGUAAAAGCCUACCAAAGCAACGAUCGGUAGCCGGACUGAGAGGUCGGACGGCCACAUUGGGACUGAGACACGGCCCAAACUCCUACGGGAGGCAGCAGUGGGGGAUAUUGCACAAUGGAGGAAACUCUGAUGCAGCGACGCCGCGUGAGUGAAGAAGUAUUUCGGUAUGUAAAGCUCUAUCAGCAGGGAAGAUGAUGACGGUACCGGACUAAGAAGCCCCGGCUAACUACGG
RNAcentral lists this ribosomal RNA (480 nucleotides) under uncultured bacterium. RNAcentral describes it as "partial 16S ribosomal RNA". It matches the Rfam family "Bacterial small subunit ribosomal RNA", at positions 28 to 506 of the family's 1533-position model. The record is from RNAcentral.